This 417-nucleotide unclassified non-coding RNA is filed under the name uncultured Sebacina. RNAcentral describes it as "sequence contains ITS2". The stretch from base 1 to 154 matches the Rfam family "5.8S ribosomal RNA". The record is from RNAcentral. Lineage: Eukaryota; Fungi; Basidiomycota; Agaricomycetes; Sebacinales; Sebacinaceae.
AACUUUCGACAACUGAUCUCUUGGCUCUCGCAUCGAUGAAGAACGCAGCGAAAUGCGAUAAGUAAUGUGAAUUGCAGAAUUCAGUGAAUCAUCGAAUCUUUGAACGCACCUUGCACCCUUUGGCAUUCCGAAGGGUAUGCUCGUUUGAGUGUCAUUGUACUCUCAUGCUCCCGAUGCUUUUGGAUCGGGAGUGGUGGACUUGGGUGUUGCUGCUUUACUGUGGCUCACCUCAAAUGGAGUAGUGCAACUCUUGGUUGGACAUAGUACGGCGUGAUAAGUGUCUUCGCCGGCGCCUCAUUAGAGGGUGGCCGAUCGGGAGCUCUGUGCUUCAAACCGUCUUCGGACAACAUCUGACAACUUGACCUCAAAUCGAGUAGGACUACCCGCUGAACUUAAGCAUAUCAAUAAGCGGAGGCU